RNAcentral lists this ribosomal RNA (507 nucleotides) under uncultured bacterium. RNAcentral's name for it is "bacterial SSU rRNA". It matches the Rfam family "Bacterial small subunit ribosomal RNA", at positions 18 to 518 of the family's 1533-position model. The record is from RNAcentral.
CCUGGCUUAGGAUGAACGCUAGCGACAGGCUUAACACAUGCAAGUCGAGGGGCAUCGGGAGUAGCAAUACUUGCCGGCGACCGGCGCAAGGGUGCGUAACGCGUGAGCAACAUGCCCGUAUCAGGGGGAUAAUCCAUGGAAACGUGGUCUAAUACCCCAUAGUAAUUAUGUAAGGCAUCUUAUAUAAUUUAAAGCUUUGGUGGAUACGGAUUGGCUCGCGUGACAUUAGCUAGAUGGUAAGGUAACGGCUUACCAUGGCUACGAUGUCUAGGGGUUCUGAGAGGAAGGCCCCCCACACUGGAACUGAGACACGGUCCAGACUCCUACGGGAGGCAGCAGUGAGGAAUAUUGGACAAUGGAUGGAAAUCUGAUCCAGCCAUGCCGCGUGCAGGAAGAACCGGCCCUAUGGGUUGUAAACUGCUUUUGUAUGGGAGCAAUAAGGGCUACGCGUAGUCCGAUGAGAGUACCAUACGAAUAAGCACCGGCUAACUCCGUGCCAGCAGCAGC